This 403-nucleotide ribosomal RNA is filed under the name uncultured bacterium. RNAcentral describes it as "bacterial SSU rRNA". It matches the Rfam family "Bacterial small subunit ribosomal RNA", at positions 355 to 776 of the family's 1533-position model. The record is from RNAcentral.
UGAGGAAUUUUCCGCAAUGGGCGAAAGCCUGACGGAGCGACGCCGUGUGGGUGAUGAAGGCCUUCGGGUCUUAAAGCCCUGUCAGCGAUGACGAUAUUGACGGUAAUCGCAGAGGAAGCCUCGGCUAACUACGUGUCAGCAGCCGCGGUAAUACGUAGGAGGCAAGCGUUGUCCGGAAUUAUUGGGCGUAAAGAGCAUGUAGGCGGUCCCGUAAGUCAGGCGUUAAAUCCCCGGGCUCAACCCGGGUUCGCACUUGAUACUGCAGGGCUUGAGAGAUGUAGAGGAAAGCGGAACUACCGGUGUAGCGGUGAAAUGCGUAGAUAUCGGUAGGAACACCAGUGGCGAAGGCGGCUUUCUGGACAUUUUCUGACGCUGAGAUGCGAAAGCUAAGGGAGCAAACGGG